RNAcentral lists this ribosomal RNA (253 nucleotides) under uncultured bacterium. Its description in RNAcentral is "partial 16S ribosomal RNA". It matches the Rfam family "Bacterial small subunit ribosomal RNA", at positions 524 to 776 of the family's 1533-position model. The record is from RNAcentral.
UACGGAGGGUGCAAGCGUUAAUCGGAAUUACUGGGCGUAAAGCGUGCGUAGGCGGUUAUGAAAGUUGGAUGUGAAAUCCCUGGGCUCAACCUAGGAACUGCAUUCAAAACUUCAUGGCUAGAGUGCGGAAGAGGACAGUGGAAUUUCCUGUGUAGCGGUGAAAUGCGUAGAUAUAGGAAGGAACAUCAGUGGCGAAGGCGACUGUCUGGUCUGACACUGACGCUGAGGUACGAAAGCGUGGGUAGCGAACAGG